GCUGGGCGUGGUUGUGCGCGCCUGUAAUCCCAGCUACUCAGGAGGCUGAGGCAGGAGAAUCGCUUGAACCUGGGAGGUGGAGGUUGUAGUGAGCCGAGAUUGUGCCACUGCACUCCAGCCUGGGUGACAUAGCGAGACUCUGUCUCAA
This 148-nucleotide non-coding RNA is filed under the name Nomascus leucogenys (northern white-cheeked gibbon). The record is from Rfam by way of RNAcentral. Lineage: Eukaryota; Metazoa; Chordata; Mammalia; Primates; Hylobatidae.